GACGAACCGUGCGAACGUUGUUCGGAAUCACUGGGCUUAAAGGGUGCGUAGGCGGGCUCGUCAGUCGGGGGUGAAAUCCCACGGCCCAACCGUGGAAGUGCCUCCGAUACUGCGGGCCUAGAGGGGAACAGGGGCAUGCGGAACUUCCGGUGGAGCGGUGAAAUGCGUAGAUAUCGGAAGGAACACCGGUGGCGAAAGCGGCGUGCUGGAUUCCUACUGACGCUGAGGCACGAAAGCCAGGGGAGCAAACGGG
This 253-nucleotide ribosomal RNA is filed under the name uncultured bacterium. Its description in RNAcentral is "partial 16S ribosomal RNA". It matches the Rfam family "Bacterial small subunit ribosomal RNA", at positions 524 to 776 of the family's 1533-position model. The record is from RNAcentral.